CUUGUCCAUCUGCUCCAGGGAAUGUCCUCAACAUUCUCCCGAUCAACCAAAGGGCUCAUGAAUGUCUCCAUCGAGAAAAAAACGAGAAUGCAUUCUGAAAGCCCUUAUUGUCUACCUGAAUAAAGACCGUCAAACCUUGUGAAGGAGUAUAUGGUAAGUCAUUUAAAUUUUUUUAAAACGUAUUUUAUGUUUCUGUGCAACCAUCCCCUCCCUCUCACCCUUGAUCUGUUGGUAAUUCUCUUUUUAUACUCAAUAUUUUUAGGAUGUUAAACAUGAUGUCGUUGCAACCUCGAUGCAGAACCCCACCCUGGGAAUCUAUGACAUCGUACAUGAAGGAGCAGAUGCUACAGACCCAUAUGAAGAUGUUGGCAUCAUCAAUAAAGGCAUCCAAAUAUUUGAAAACCUAAA
Long non-coding RNA from Silurus meridionalis, 408 nucleotides. RefSeq lists it as uncharacterized. The transcript has 2 exons. The record is from RefSeq and is a predicted model, not a curated record. NCBI's taxonomy places the organism in Eukaryota, Metazoa, Chordata, Actinopteri, Siluriformes, Siluridae.